CGCGGUAAUACGAAGGGUGCAAGCGUUACGCGGAAUUACUGGGCGUAAAGCGUGCGUAGGUGGUCUGGCAAGUCCGAUGUGAAAGCCCUGGGCUCAACCGCGGGACUGCAGGGGAUACUGGGGGGCUGGAGACAGGUAGAGGCGAGCGGAAUUCCGGGUGUAGCGGUGGAAUGCGUAGAGAUCCGGAAGAACACCAGAGGCGAAGGCGGCUCGCUGGACCUUGUCUGACGCUGAGGUGCGAAAGCGUGGGGAGCGAA
Molecule: ribosomal RNA, 257 nt
Filed under: uncultured bacterium
Lineage: Bacteria
Description: partial 16S ribosomal RNA
Rfam family: Bacterial small subunit ribosomal RNA
Source: RNAcentral